GCCAGCAUGGCUCUGUGGCUGAGUGUUGACUUAUGAACCAGGAGGUCAAGGUUCGAUUCCUUGUGAGGGCA
This 71-nucleotide transfer RNA is filed under the name Myotis davidii. It matches the Rfam family "tRNA". Rfam says of the family: Transfer RNA (tRNA) molecules are approximately 80 nucleotides in length. Their secondary structure includes four short double-helical elements and three loops (D, anti-codon, and T loops). Lineage: Eukaryota; Metazoa; Chordata; Mammalia; Chiroptera; Vespertilionidae. The record is from Rfam by way of RNAcentral.